UGUUGCUUAUAUCUCAUGACACCCAUGAUGU
RNAcentral lists this non-coding RNA (31 nucleotides) under Mus musculus (house mouse). The record is from RNAcentral. Lineage: Eukaryota; Metazoa; Chordata; Mammalia; Rodentia; Muridae.